UACGAAGGGUGCAAGCGUUACUCGGAAUUACUGGGCGUAAAGCGUGCGUAGGUGGUUCGUUAAGUCUGAUGUGAAAGCCCUGGGCUCAACCUGGGAAUGGCAUUGGAAACUGGCGACCUAGAGUGCGGUAGAGGGUAGUGGAAUUCCCGGUGUAGCAGUGAAAUGCGUAGAUAUCGGGAGGAACACCAGUGGCGAAGGCGACUUCCUGGCCCGUUCUUGACGCUGAGGCGCGAAAGCUAGGGGAGCAAACGGG
Molecule: ribosomal RNA, 253 nt
Filed under: uncultured bacterium
Lineage: Bacteria
Description: partial 16S ribosomal RNA
Rfam family: Bacterial small subunit ribosomal RNA
Source: RNAcentral